This 386-nucleotide ribosomal RNA is filed under the name uncultured bacterium. RNAcentral's name for it is "bacterial SSU rRNA". It matches the Rfam family "Bacterial small subunit ribosomal RNA", at positions 84 to 487 of the family's 1533-position model. The record is from RNAcentral.
UCUGGUGGCGAGUGGCGAACGGGUGAGUAACGCGUGGGUAACCUACCCCUAAGUGGGGGAUAACUCCGGGAAACUGGGGCUAAUACCGCAUGUGGUUCUUCGCCUUAGGGUGAAGAACUAAAGCCGUAAGGCGCUCGGGGAGGGGCUUGCGUCCGAUUAGCUAGUUGGUAGGGUAAUGGCCUACCAAGGCGAUGAUCGGUAGCUGGUCUGAGAGGAUGUCCAGCCACACGGGGACUGAGACACGGCCCCGACUCCUACGGGAGGCAGCAGCAAGGAAUAUUGCGCAAUGGGCGAAAGCCUGACGCAGCGACGCCGCGUGGGGGAUGAAGGCUUUCGGGUUGUAAACCCCUUUUCUCAGGGAAGAAUAAUGACGGUACCUGGGGAAU